This 482-nucleotide ribosomal RNA is filed under the name uncultured bacterium. Its description in RNAcentral is "partial 16S ribosomal RNA". The stretch from base 50 to 482 matches the Rfam family "Bacterial small subunit ribosomal RNA", at positions 39 to 507 of the family's 1533-position model. The record is from RNAcentral.
GGGGGGGGGGGGGGGGGGGGGGGGGGCGGGGCGGGGGGGGGGGGAGAGGGCGGAGGGUGCGGACUGGUGGUGAACGGGUGAGUAUUGCUGAGGAGUGUGCCCAGUAGUUGGGGAUAACGACUAGAAUGAGUAGAUCAUAACGCAUAAGACGUAUGGGAUAAAGCGGAGUCCUGGAAGGAUUCGAGCGAUUGGUGCGGCCGCUGUCAGAUUAAGUAGUUGGUGGGUCAAAGGCUUACCAAGCCAACGAUCGGUAGCUGCCCUGCUAGGGGGAUCAGCCACACUGGUACUGAGACACGGCCCAGACUCCUACGGGAGGCAGCAGUGGGGAAUUUUGGACAAUGGGCGCAAGCCUGAUCCAGCAAUGCCGCGUGCGGGAAGAAGGCCUUCGGGUUGUAAACUGCUUUUGUACGGAACGAAACGGCUCUGGUUAAUACCCGGAGCUCAUGACGGUACCGAAAGAAAAAGCCCCGGCUAACUACGUG